RNAcentral lists this ribosomal RNA (607 nucleotides) under uncultured bacterium. RNAcentral describes it as "bacterial SSU rRNA". It matches the Rfam family "Bacterial small subunit ribosomal RNA", at positions 331 to 929 of the family's 1533-position model. The record is from RNAcentral.
CCAGACUCCUACGGGAGGCAGCAGUGGGGAAUCUUCCGCAAUGGACGAAAGUCUGACGGAGCAACGCCGCGUGAGUGAUGACGGCCUUCGGGUUGUAAAGCUCUGUUAAUCGGGACGAAAGGCCUUCUUGCGAAUAGUGAGAAGGAUUGACGGUACCGGAAUAGAAAGCCACGGCUAACUACGUGCCAGCAGCCGCGGUAAUACGUAGGUGGCAAGCGUUGUCCGGAAUUAUUGGGCGUAAAGCGCGCGCAGGCGGAUAGGUCAGUCUGUCUUAAAAGUUCGGGGCUUAACCCCGUGAUGGGAUGGAAACUGCCAAUCUAGAGUAUCGGAGAGGAAAGUGGAAUUCCUAGUGUAGCGGUGAAAUGCGUAGAUAUUAGGAAGAACACCAGUGGCGAAGGCGACUUUCUGGACGAAAACUGACGCUGAGGCGCGAAAGCCAGGGGAGCGAACGGGAUUAGAUACCCCGGUAGUCCUGGCUGUAAACGAUGGGUACUAGGUGUAGGAGGUAUCGACCCCUUCUGUGCCGGAGUUAACGCAAUAAGUACCCCGCCUGGGGAGUACGACCGCAAGGUUGAAACUCAAAGGAAUUGACGGGGGCCCGCACAAG